Long non-coding RNA from Pipra filicauda (Wire-tailed manakin), 2860 nucleotides. RefSeq lists it as uncharacterized. The record is from RefSeq and is a predicted model, not a curated record. The transcript is spliced from 2 exons. Lineage: Eukaryota; Metazoa; Chordata; Aves; Passeriformes; Pipridae.
UUUUGGCUUACCUGGAGUAAACAAGUGCCCACAACAGGGUGGUUAUUGCCCAAAGCAAUACUUCCCAAACCAGUGCAGAUUGUAGGAGCAUCCAGUUGUUGCUGCCUGCUCAGUGCUGGGAUCUCUGCUCCAGAAAUAUCUGGGAAAAGGUCUGUUCUUGUCUUGCUCUGUGGCCUCAGGCAGGUUAAGUUGUACAUCUCUCCAUACAAAUCCUGCAAGGGUGCAGGGUGUAAUGCCCCUGAUUUUUCUCAACUGCUGUAGAAACAUGCUUUCUAACAACACAGGGAGGAAAAGUAACAGCACUGUUGUUACAGGUUCCCCUGAAACCACCUUUUUGUUCCCAUCCUGCAGAAGGACCCCCCUUGCCUUAGGCACCUCCUUUCAGAGCUGAUGUACCUGCCAAGCAGGAGUUACACGGAAUAAAACUGAUUCCUGUGGCUUGAGGUGCAUCAAAAAACCACUUUGCACUCAAAAGAAGCCACAAAUCUGGCAGGAGCAUGAGGCCACCACCAAAACUGGGUGUUACACGAUACCUUAUUCCACUUGGGAAGAGCUGGCUGUUUCUAUGGCUACUGCUGCCUUUCUCUCCAACACACCAACCAUUGGUUCUGAUGAGAUCAUAUUGUAUUAUAGAAAAAAAAAAUCACUCACAUACUGCUUUACACUGCAGCAUUUGUUGAGCUACUAUAUAUCUGACUUCCUAUAAUAAAGACAUUUUCCAUUUAAUGUAUUCUUGUAAACGGGUAGGAUUUCCCUCAUCUCUGAUUUAUAAAUGCAUCCAUUUUGGCCUCGAAAAUCCUGGUUCUGGUUUCCAUGACAACAGGCUUGAUUUUUGAGGCUAUUUCUUCCCCUUACUUCAUCUUGGGUGGGAAGAGUUUCUGUCCCCUUCCAGUAGCAGUGCAAUGGGCAAGCAAAAUGGUUGCCUUGAAGGAGAAUGAGCAGACCUGAAACCAGAAACUUCAGCCAGCUUUUUUAAACACAGGUGAGAAAUGCAUCAGAAGAAUGGCACCACAAACCCAGCACACGCUUGAGUCAGAUUUUUUGUACACAGAAAGUCAAAUGCACAUAUAAUCCCAGGAAAUUUUAGUCAUGUACCCCCCUGUCAGGUAUUUAACAAACUGAUCUGGUAAUCCUGAAUAGCACUGUGUUGGCACAUGACAAAAUAAUCAGAGGAUCUCGCCAGUCUGUUCAUGUUGUAACCCUGUAGAUUAAUUAGUACUGAAUGCACUUUAUUAUUUGAAAUACACUCUCACUGUCUCUAUUUUUUCCCUCAGUCCAUCCCAUCUACAGUACUGGACUGCCAGGACUGUCUCUUUCAUAGGUCAUUCACAGCUAAACCAUAUUCUUUCAAUGUGGAACAGUGCAUUUGAGACUCUGGGUACUAAAGGUACCAUAAAUAAUCCAUAACUGCUUUGCAAGGAUCUUUCUAGUGGGUUUUUUCGCUUUUAACAUUUCCAGGAAAAAUGAAGAUAGACAGCUGCUGGUACUCCAUGGCUGAAGUGGUUUAGCAAUUGCUCUUCUAAAAUGAUAAAAAGGUGGUUUUUGCAAACUCCUCAGAAAAUCCCUGGAGAGGGCCUUUGUUCCUUUUUCCUGCAGAGAAGAAACACAACUUACCUACAUCCUUCUGGGUAAUAAGUACCUUCAAAUGUGCCAUCCACUAAGGUUGCAGAUGAAAUGUCUCUCUUUGGCUUGUCAUAGAGUUUUCUUACUUUCUGUGAGUGAAAGAUAUUAUGGAACCACAGUGUCUAAGGUAUCAUUGCAUUAUGGCAUUAUAAUCUCAUUUGCAUUUGAGCUGGGAGCAGCCUGAUAAAGCUGUUCCUUAAACUAGUACAGGAUUGCUCCCAGUGUUUAAUCCGAAUGCUGGAGCUGCCAGUCCAUCUUUUGGAGCAGAAGAUUCAAGUGUAGGUCAGGUAUUCUGCACUAUGACAGAAGGCAGGAGUACCUCAUUUAGGCAUGUUUUAUCCACAGUGUUGUAACCUGCCAGUAAUUUACAUUAGAGGCUGGCCUGUGACCCCCAAACAAAGCACAGUCCCCACCUGUGCAGCCCCUGACACAUCUCAGGGUAGAAUGAGAUUAUCACUGAAAGCCAAGCAGAGUUCAGAGUGAAUCAAUAUCAGGCACAACACAAAAGUGAUUCAGUGAUUGCCUUAAAUAACCACAGGUUUUCCCUUCUGUCAUGACUAAACCAUCCUGCCCUAACAGCCAGUCCCUUGGGGACAAUGAAGUCACAGCAGCACAAUUUCAGCUGUGCAGCCAACUGGAGACAAUAUGAGCACCCUUGUCUUCUCUGCCCUACCAUGGCAUGGAGGGGAUUAAAAAGUGAGUCAUUGGCUGGAAAAAGUACUGGUCCUGUGGCAGUAGGAUGAGUCUUAAAAAAGCUCUUGCAUUCUGUAAAGGUUAAUUGUAAGAGUGGUGAAGCAGGAAGACACGACUGAAAACAGUGAAACCUAUGCAUUGUGUACUGUUAACUUCUCAGAUAUUAACGUUUCCUUCUCUAAAAUGCUCUCACACUUAAAACACUUCAGUGGAUUUAUAACCCAGGACAAUGAAAAAAAAUACAAUUUUUACUUGUUUGGGUUUGUCCUCAUUUCAUGUGAUAUUGUACCACACAAGAGUAUUGUGUUGAAAUCCUAAAUGUUGUUUGUAGUACUGCCUGAAAGUUCCUCCAAAUAGUUAAUUGAUUCUUGCUUUUCAUGUAGCCCAGAGCAAGUUUAGAGGAAAUAAAUGUAACAUGAGUUAGUCAUCCUUAAAUAAUCUCAAAGCAGGGAGCCCUACAUUAACAGCAGGCUGAUAAUAAGCUGUGUAGUGCUAUCUCCAGCAAAGCUUUGCCCAUGACUUCAAAUAAAUUUACGAGCUGUCA